RNAcentral lists this ribosomal RNA (419 nucleotides) under bacterium. Its description in RNAcentral is "partial 16S ribosomal RNA". It matches the Rfam family "Bacterial small subunit ribosomal RNA", at positions 355 to 776 of the family's 1533-position model. The record is from RNAcentral.
UGGGGGAUAUUGCACAAUGGGCGAAAGCCUGAUGCAGCGACGCCGCGUGGGGGAUGAAGGCCUUCGGGUUGUAAACUUCUUUUGCUCUGAACAAGGCGCACCAUGGGGUGUGUUGAGUGUAGGGGUUGAUUAGCGCCGGCUAACUACGUGCCAGCAGCCGCGGUAAUACGUAGGGCGCGAGCGUUGUCCGGAAUUAUUGGGCGUAAAGGGCUUGUAGGUGGCUGGUUGCGUCUGUCGUGAAAGCUCAUGGCUUAACUGUGGGUUUGCGGUGGGUACGGGCUGGCUUGAGUGCAGUAGGGGAGGCUGGAAUUCCUGGUGUAGCGGUGGAAUGCGCAGAUAUCAGGAGGAAUACCGGUGGCGAAGGCGGGUCUCUGGGCUGUUACUGACACUUAGGAGCGAAAGCAUUGGGAGCGAACAGG